UCGAAGUGUAUAUCAUUGUUGUUGCGGUUAAAAAGCUCGUAGUUGGAUCUGCGUCCGUGGAAUCGGUCCUCCCAAUGGGAGCGCACUGAUAUCCUGGGCUACAUUGGCUGGUUUUCCCUUGGUGUCCUUCACCGGGUGCCUUGGGUGACUAGCGCGUUUACUUUGAAAAAAUUAGAGUGCUCAAAACAGGCGUCAGCCUGAAUACUGGUGCAUGGAAUAAUGGAAUAGGACCUUGGUUCUAUUUUGUUGGUUUUCGGAAUACGAGGUAAUGAUUAAGAGGGACGGACGGGGGCAUUCGUAUUGCAGCGCUAGAGGUGAAAUUCUUGGACCGCUGCAAGACGAACAACUGCGAAAGCAUUUGCCAAGAAUGUUUUCAUUAAUCAAGAACGAAAGUUAGAGGUU
RNAcentral lists this ribosomal RNA (402 nucleotides) under Nematoda sp. MM00021. Its description in RNAcentral is "SSU rRNA". It matches the Rfam family "Eukaryotic small subunit ribosomal RNA", at positions 592 to 998 of the family's 1831-position model. Lineage: Eukaryota; Metazoa; Nematoda. The record is from RNAcentral.